CCUUCUCUUUCUUCUCUCAAACCCUAAUCCUUUUUUCCUUUCUCCUUCUUCUCAAACCCUUCAACUUGCGUACAUAGAGUUAAGCUUUUAGGGUUUAUCAAGAGUUUCACGAAAUUCACCUCAAUCAAAGGGUUUCAAGGAUUCAUCGUAAUCAAAGGUUUGAAGUAUUUGUUAUGCAUGCUUAGUUCAGAAUGUUGAUUACAGGACAAACUCUUGGACCUGACAAGUGUAACACGUCUCUUUCCCAUCACUAAGUACCUUGGUUUUCUUGCCACUAGUAUCACAUGAAUUAUGGAUAAACCAUCUAGCUCUUCACCAAAAAAAAGAAGACUAGAGGUGUCACAGCAUUGCUACGUUUCAUUGCCAAACUUCCUGAUGGUGAAAAAUACCAAAUUGAUUUUGAUCCUGAUACCUUCCAACCCAUUGGUCAGUAUGCUGCAAAGUUUAAAAGUUAUUUGUCAUUCAUUGCACGUAGCAAGGUUAGUAUAAAUGAAAAGCAAUGGAAAAAGAUAAGCGAUAAGUUGAAGGACGUGAUAUGGGACGAUAUCACGUGUAAGUUCACUUGCCCCACUGAUAAAGAAUUUAGGAAGCAUUGGUUUGUUUAUAUGGGGGAACGAUUGAAGCAAUUUAAGACAUUGCUCUCAAAUGUCUAUAUAUUUGGGAAAGGAGAUAAGCAUGGAAAUACAACUCCAUUUGAAAAGUAUAAAUUUAUCAAAGAAGAAGAUUGGGAUUUGUUUGUCCAGACUCGACAAAAAGAAGAUUUUCAAGAGAAAAGGCUAAAAGGAAAGACACAUGCAUCAAAGAAUAUCCACCCUCAUAUUUUGUCUCGUGGUGGUUAUGAAAAACUUAGGGCCACCGUAAUGGAAGAGAGGAGGAAAAAAGUGAUUGAAGAGGCCAAAGGUGAUGAAAGUUUGAAAGGUGAUGAAAGUGAUUGAAAGGUGAUGAAAGUGAUUGAAGAGGCUCAAAUCCAACAAGGAAUGAAACUCCUACAACAGAUGCAAUUGGAGCUCCGCUCCGAGAGGCCUAAAGAGAUGUUUAUAAAAGAGCAUGUAGAAUCUGUGGGUACGAGCACUAACGGAAGUUGCUCAAAGGUUAUGACUACUGAAGAUUUAACUAAAAAAAUGGAUGCUUCUGAAGAUUACCUCAAAAAGAUUAACAAUCUCAAGGAAAAAAGUUUGUGAUGUUGUUGUUUUUGGUGGCUUUAAUGUAACUAGGAGUUUAUAUGCAGGGGCAUCAACAAGAUAACGGAUGGGCAUGUGGAUAUUAUGUCAUGAAAAAUAUGUUUGACAUUAUUGAUGCUUGUAUUGUUGAAAGAUUCAAUGAGAUAUUCACAGACACCUCAUCAUAUGAAAAAGAGUCAAUUGAUCACAUCCGACAACUUUGGGCUCAAUUCUUUUUGCAAAAGGUUGAAGAGCAAGAGAACCAGGAAAAGAAAGAUUUAAUGACAAAACAGAAGCGAU
Long non-coding RNA from Lathyrus oleraceus (garden pea), 1460 nucleotides. RefSeq lists it as uncharacterized. Lineage: Eukaryota; Viridiplantae; Streptophyta; Magnoliopsida; Fabales; Fabaceae. The transcript is spliced from 7 exons. The record is from RefSeq and is a predicted model, not a curated record.